Molecule: ribosomal RNA, 482 nt
Filed under: uncultured bacterium
Lineage: Bacteria
Description: partial 16S ribosomal RNA
Rfam family: Bacterial small subunit ribosomal RNA
Source: RNAcentral
GACGAACGCUGGCGGCGUGCUUAACACAUGCAAGUCGAACGAUGAAGAAGAGAAACGCGAACUUCGGUUCAAAUUUCACUUCGGAUUAGUGGCAGACGGGUGAGAAACGCGUGAGCAACCUACCUCUUACAAAGGGAUAGCCUCGGGAAACCGUGAUUAAUACCAUAUGACACAUUCAUAAGGCAUCUUAAGGAUGUUAAAGCUACGGCGGUAAGAGAUGGGCUCGCGUCCCAUUAGCUAGUUGGUGAGGUAACGGCCCACCAAGGCGACGAUGGGUAACCGGCCUGAGAGGGUGAACGGUCACAUUGGAACUGAGACACGGUCCCAACUCCUACGGGAGGCAGCAGUGGGGAAUAUUGCACAAUGGAGGGAACUCUGAUGCAGCGACGCCGCGUGAGCGAUGAAGGAAUUCGUUUCGUAAAGCUCUGUUCUAUGGGAAGAAAAGGACUGUACCAUAGGAGAAAGCCCCGGCUAAAUACGUG